RNAcentral lists this ribosomal RNA (253 nucleotides) under uncultured bacterium. Its description in RNAcentral is "partial 16S ribosomal RNA". It matches the Rfam family "Bacterial small subunit ribosomal RNA", at positions 524 to 776 of the family's 1533-position model. The record is from RNAcentral.
UACAUAGGUCCCAAGCGUUGUUCGGAUUCACUGGGCGUAAAGGGUGCGUAGGUGGCAAGGUAAGUUUGAUGUGAAAUCUUCGAGCUCAAAUCGGAAACUGCAUUGAAUACUAUCUUGCUUGAGGAUUGGAGGGGAGGCUGGAAUUCUCGGUGUAGCAGUGAAAUGCGUAGAUAUCGAGAGGAACACCGGUGGCGAAGGCGGCCAACUGGACAGAUACUGACGCUGAGACACGAAAGCGUGGGGAGCAAACAGG